CCUACGGGCGGCAGCAGUGGGGAAUAUUGCACAAUGGGGGAAACCCUGAUGCAGCGACGCCGCGUGAGUGAAGAAGUAAUUCGUUAUGUAAAGCUCUAUCAGCAGGGAAGAAAAUGACGGUAACUGAGUAAGAAGCCCCGGCUAACUACGUGCCAGCAGCCGCGGUAAUACGUAGGGGGCAAGCGUUAUCCGGAUUUACUGGGUGUACAGGGAGCGUAGACGGCAGUGCAAGUCUGGAGUGAAAGGCGGGGGGUCAACCCCCGGACUGCUCUGGAAACUGUACGGCUGGAGUGCAGGAGAGGGAAGUGGAAUUCCUAGUGUAGCGGUGAAAUGCGUAGAUAUUAGGAGGAACACCAGUGGCGAAGGCGGCUUACUGGACUGUAACUGACGUUGAGGCUCGAAAGCGUGGGGAGCAAACAGGAUUAGAUACCCCAGUAGUC
RNAcentral lists this ribosomal RNA (440 nucleotides) under uncultured bacterium. RNAcentral describes it as "partial 16S ribosomal RNA". It matches the Rfam family "Bacterial small subunit ribosomal RNA", at positions 338 to 795 of the family's 1533-position model. The record is from RNAcentral.